RNAcentral lists this long non-coding RNA (2144 nucleotides) under Mus musculus (house mouse). RNAcentral's name for it is "long non-coding RNA chr8:35594235-35596379". Lineage: Eukaryota; Metazoa; Chordata; Mammalia; Rodentia; Muridae. The record is from RNAcentral.
UGGUACCAUUCAACUGAAGCAUCAAUCCCAUUAAAACCUUUUAAAAUGUUCUUAUAUGGAAAACACACUCUGACCUUGCCCAACUGCAUUUUCUGGCAAGAGCUACUUAGCUGGCCGAGUGAUGCAGAGCUGGAGUUCUCUUGCUUUAAUUUUGGAGAUCCUUAGCCAGCAACCAUGGGUUCAAAAUUUCUCCUGGACGAGGCCCAAUCACACUGUCAAUGAGAUUAGAGAUUUUAUUUAAGAUUUAUUUAUUAUAGAUUUUAUGUAAGACAGUUGGGCUGAUAUACGAGCGUGUGUUAAGUAAAGACUUAUUUAUUUAUUUUAUCUGUGUGGAUGUUUAGUCUGCCUGUCUGCCUGUCUGUCUGUCUGUACAGAAGAGGUUGUGGGAUGCCCAGGAAAUGGAGUUACAGACAGUUGUUAGUGGCCAUGUGGGUGUUGGGAAUUGAACCCUGGUACUCCAGAAGAGGAACCAGUGUUCUUAACUGCUGGGCCAUCUUGCCAGCCCUCCAUAGUUCUUCCAGAAACUGAAGACAGGUCUGUAAGAUGAUGAAAUAUUGCUGCAGCUCACCAGGUAGAGGCACUUGUCUUGCGAUCCUAGACACCUGAGUCCAUCCCCACAACACAUAUAAAGGUAAAAGAUCAAUCAGGCCUCCAUACACGUGCUGAAUUGUGUGUGCACAAACACAAUCAUUUUUCAGACUAUUGAUGGGCAUGGACUCCGCCUAUAUCCACCACCCUCUUCCAUUCCUCCCCUGUAAUUGGUCCUGGGCUCUCAUUCCCAGAGUGCACUGUUCUUCCUAUUGGGAUGUUUAUUCAUGUUUUUCUUCUCUUCUGCCAGUAUCGUUUAAACCAGAAUGGUCAGCCUCCUGAGGUUGGCUGACCUGGCGGGCUCAGUGGCUACCACAUUGGACCGCAGCAAGACUGCAGUACAUUGAUAACAUUUCAGCACUCAAAGGACGGCUUUAUAGAUUUGAGUUGGAAGAAUAUAUCUUAGUCUAAGUGACUUUGAAUAGAAGUUUUCGCUCAUAUUCAAAUAUUUACCCUCCAAAUUAUGAGUGGUAAUUUUAAACAAGGAGAAAGCAAUCCAGUAAGCUUAAUUAUCUGGUUUUCCUUAAUUCUGGCCAUGUGCAUUCACACAGAACCUUUCCAUAUCUCAAAAGUACCCUUUGCUCUGUCAUUUCCUUUUUGCACCUAGUGUGUACCUGUCUGACUGUGUGUAACCUGUCUUACUUUGUAUGCCUGUCUGACAGUGUGCGCCUGUCUAACUGUACCUACAGGUCUGAAUGUGUUUGCUUGGCCAUCUUGCUACAAUGUGUGCCCAUAUGACACUGUGUGUCCUACUGAUAGUAUGUUGCCAUGUGAUGGUGUAUGUCUGUCUGAUAGUGUGUACCCAUCCGACUGUGUGUUUGUCGGGCUGUGUGUACCUGUCUGACAGUGUGUGCCUAUCUGUUGUACAUACCCAACUGUGUGCGCCAGUCUGGCUGUGUGCUAGUCUGACUGUAUGUCCUGGUUUGAGUGUGUUUAAGUGUCUGAUGGUGCAUAUCUGGCUGGUGCUUAGCCUAUCUCUCUGUUCCCAGGAGUGGUUGCAUAUGUCCUAAUUCUUUCUUGAUUAGACUGGUCACUUACUUCCUCUAAGCAGAGACCUGCCUGGGGCUUUGUGCUCCCUGGAAACCUCUCUGGUGCUCCUUGGGUGGCUGGUGCUCCUUGGAGUGGCUGGUGCUCCUUGGGUGGCUGGUGCUCCUUGGGUGACUGGUGCUCCUUGGAGUGGCUGGUGCUUUGUGUGAAGAAUCUCUCUGUUGUACUGUCAGGUUCCCAGGUAGUACCGGAUGGUGAUCCUGCCUUGGCAUGCAUCCUCCACUCAGAUGUCCCAGCUCUCCUGUUGGGCCUGGAUCACGGCACUUGCCCUUGAAUGGGCCCUUCAUUUUGACUACUGAAGCGGAGCAAAGUUCUUGCCUUAUUAUAUCUAAAUUUUACAAUUACUGGAAUCUGAGCAUGACCUAGUUGCUCGGAUUGAAUUAAGUCAUUGUUUUUGGACUCCACAAAGCUUAUUCAAUAUCUUUUUUAGCUUCACUGUAUUAAUAUUGAUGCCCCCCUGGGUUUUUAUUUUUCAUAAACAGGCCACAUUGAAUUGGGUAGGGCUUUGC